Elgaria multicarinata webbii is the source of this 483-nucleotide long non-coding RNA. RefSeq lists it as uncharacterized. Lineage: Eukaryota; Metazoa; Chordata; Lepidosauria; Squamata; Anguidae. The record is from RefSeq and is a predicted model, not a curated record. The transcript is spliced from 3 exons.
UUGAGGCGGUGGCGGCGAGAAGGUCUUCUUCUUCGGGUUUUUUUUCCUAUUAGUAUUAAUUAUUAUUAAUUAUUAUUGUUGUUAUUAUUUCAUUUAAAAGGAAAAGUCAGCCGCAGAGGGAAGGCGGGCUCCAAAAUGUAUUCUGAGGGAAGGCGAAAGUUCCGUUACUGAGGUGAUGACUGAGGGUUGGUUUUCUCUCCUUUUAUGGUUUGUGGCUGCACUCUGGUUGCUAGCGCUGCCUGCUCUGGCUCCACCUACCGUUACCUGUUUUGCACUCUGCUCCGCCGGACCCAAUGGACACCAGCCGCCACUGGCUACAAAUAGGAAUUGUCCCUGAAGCUGAGGUGGGCCACCCGGUGGUUCCAGGACUGAACAUGUGAAAACAGGGCACCCUAGUCUUUCUUGAACACACUGCCCACAUAAAGACCGAGGGCUCUGCUGCUUAGCACAUUUUGAAAUUGCAAACUCAUCGGACUCCCUAAA